RNAcentral lists this ribosomal RNA (1201 nucleotides) under Latilactobacillus sakei. Its description in RNAcentral is "bacterial SSU rRNA". It matches the Rfam family "Bacterial small subunit ribosomal RNA", at positions 268 to 1461 of the family's 1533-position model. The record is from RNAcentral. Lineage: Bacteria; Bacillati; Bacillota; Bacilli; Lactobacillales; Lactobacillaceae.
CCAAGACCGUGAUGCAUAGCCGACCUGAGAGGGUAAUCGGCCACACUGGGACUGAGACACGGCCCAGACUCCUACGGGAGGCAGCAGUAGGGAAUCUUCCACAAUGGACGAAAGUCUGAUGGAGCAACGCCGCGUGAGUGAAGAAGGUUUUCGGAUCGUAAAACUCUGUUGUUGGAGAAGAAUGUAUCUGAUAGUAACUGAUCAGGUAGUGACGGUAUCCAACCAGAAAGCCACGGCUAACUACGUGCCAGCAGCCGCGGUAAUACGUAGGUGGCAAGCGUUGUCCGGAUUUAUUGGGCGUAAAGCGAGCGCAGGCGGUUUCUUAAGUCUGAUGUGAAAGCCUUCGGCUCAACCGAAGAAGUGCAUCGGAAACUGGGAAACUUGAGUGCAGAAGAGGACAGUGGAACUCCAUGUGUAGCGGUGAAAUGCGUAGAUAUAUGGAAGAACACCAGUGGCGAAGGCGGCUGUCUGGUCUGUAACUGACGCUGAGGCUCGAAAGCAUGGGUAGCAAACAGGAUUAGAUACCCUGGUAGUCCAUGCCGUAAACGAUGAGUGCUAGGUGUUGGAGGGUUUCCGCCCUUCAGUGCCGCAGCUAACGCAUUAAGCACUCCGCCUGGGGAGUACGACCGCAAGGUUGAAACUCAAAGGAAUUGACGGGGGCCCGCACAAGCGGUGGAGCAUGUGGUUUAAUUCGAAGCAACGCGAAGAACCUUACCAGGUCUUGACAUCCUUUGACCACUCUAGAGAUAGAGCUUUCCCUUCGGGGACAAAGUGACAGGUGGUGCAUGGUUGUCGUCAGCUCGUGUCGUGAGAUGUUGGGUUAAGUCCCGCAACGAGCGCAACCCUUAUUACUAGUUGCCAGCAUUUAGUUGGGCACUCUAGUGAGACUGCCGGUGACAAACCGGAGGAAGGUGGGGACGACGUCAAAUCAUCAUGCCCCUUAUGACCUGGGCUACACACGUGCUACAAUGGAUGGUACAACGAGUUGCGAGACCGCGAGGUUUAGCUAAUCUCUUAAAACCAUUCUCAGUUCGGAUUGUAGGCUGCAACUCGCCUACAUGAAGCCGGAAUCGCUAGUAAUCGCGGAUCAGCAUGCCGCGGUGAAUACGUUCCCGGGCCUUGUACACACCGCCCGUCACACCAUGAGAGUUUGUAACACCCAAAGCCGGUGAGGUAACCCUUCGGGAGCCAGCCGUCUAAG